Long non-coding RNA from Daktulosphaira vitifoliae (grape phylloxera), 581 nucleotides. RefSeq lists it as uncharacterized. The record is from RefSeq and is a predicted model, not a curated record. NCBI's taxonomy places the organism in Eukaryota, Metazoa, Arthropoda, Insecta, Hemiptera, Phylloxeridae. The transcript has 3 exons.
CACAUAAUCAGAUAAGAGUUGAGGUUGUUUUUUGGCCAAAUUAUGGAAAAUUUGAAGAGUAGAUGAUACAGUUUGUGAUGUGCAUAAAUAUUCACACAACUGAGCAUGCCUACACCAUAUUUAUGAACUUGUUUUACAAGGCGUAUUUUCUGAAACCAAAUUAUGUCCUUCAACGGGAUCAGAAAUAUUAUUAUUCAAGAGGUUUCAACAAGAAUGGGAAACAAUUGAUAAAACAAUUUUUUGCAGACCGUCCAAGAUUACCAAAAAAAAUAUCCAAAAUGUGUUAGAGAAACAUUAAAAAAAAAAUAUUAAGACACAAAUACUAGUUCCAUGUAGAUAAAUGUGCUGUGAAUUUUGUAAUAAUUAUGUGUUGAUAGAAUCGAUUAUACAUUUUUUUUUAUUUAAUCGUAAUCAAUAUUCAUGAAACUAUUAUAGUUAUUUUAUACAAUUUUUUUUUUAAUAUUACUUUUAUAAAAAAAGAUUACAUGAAAAUUUAGUGAAAUUUAUUGUAUAAAAAAUAGAACUUUUUCAACUUAACUUUUGAAAAUGUUCCAGAAAUAAUGCGUCCUUUAUACAUAUAU